This 497-nucleotide ribosomal RNA is filed under the name uncultured bacterium. RNAcentral's name for it is "partial 16S ribosomal RNA". It matches the Rfam family "Bacterial small subunit ribosomal RNA", at positions 28 to 507 of the family's 1533-position model. The record is from RNAcentral.
GAUGAACGCUGGCGGCGUGCCUAAUACAUGCAAGUCGAGCGAACAGACCAGGAGCUUGCUCCUCUGACGUUAGCGGCGGACGGGUGAGUAACACAUGGAUAACCUACCUAUAAGACUGGGAUAACUUCGUGAAACCGGAGCUAAUACCGGAUAAUAUAUUGAACCGCAUGGUUCAAUAGUGAAAGACGGUUUUGCUGUCACUUAUAGAUGGAUCCGCGCCGCAUUAGCUAGUUGGUAAGGUAACGGCUUACCAAGGCAACGAUGCGUAGCCUACCUGAGAGGGUGAUCGCCGACACUGGAGCUGGGACACGGUCCAGACUCCUACGGGAGGCAGCAGUAGGGAAUCUUGCGCAAUGGGCGAAAGCCUGACGGAGCAACGCAGCGUGAGUGAUGAAGGUCUUCGGAUCGUAAAACUCUGUUAUUAGGGAAGAACAAAUGUGUAAGUAACUAUGCACGUCUUGACGGUACCUAAUCAGAAAGCCACGGCUAACUACGUG